Molecule: long non-coding RNA, 14512 nt
Organism: Mirounga angustirostris (Northern elephant seal)
Lineage: Eukaryota; Metazoa; Chordata; Mammalia; Carnivora; Phocidae
Exons: 2
Source: RefSeq, a predicted model, not a curated record
CGCGCGCACGGCCGAGCAUGGCGGCGGCGGCCCGGCCGGCUCCCCGCGGCCCUGCCCGCCGGCUCCAGUGCCGUCUCGAGAGCAACAGGUUAAGCCGGCGAGACGUCAGCGCGCCCCCUCCCCGCCCCCCGGUUCUCCCCCCAGGCUCGCGCCGGCCUUCCCCCCUCCUCCCUCUGCCCCCCCGCUCCCCCGCUCCCCCGCUCCGGGUUCCCGGACGCUCCCGGCCGCGUUCUGUUGUCAUUGUGACGUCACAAAGGGACGGGCCCGGGUGGAACCUUCUCCUCCUCCUCCGUGACGUCAAAAGUCGGGCGGGAGGUUCCAGGCGGCGGGGCGGCCGGGGGGAGGAGGGAGCGAGCGAGCGGAGGCGGGGGCCGCGGCGGAGCGGGGCCGCGGCGUGGGAGGAGGAAGAGGAGGAGGAGGAUGCGAUCGGCCUCCGCCUUCCGCCCCGAAACGCUGCGCUUCCCUGCAGGUCGGCUGACGGUGUGGCAUUACUACGGUGGUCGCUGUGAUCGCUCAGCAACGCUUUUCAGAAAGCAAGGCAACUUUAUUCAGGGAACGCUUUGCUUUGUGGCAGGACUGUGUUGUGGAUUUGGCCACCUCGUCCCUUGAAGUCGUGUCUGGGGUGCCUUUGGGGGCUGUGACGGGAUGCCUUCCUGGGUGAUGCUGCUCAGCAGCAACUGUUGCUCUUUCUGGGAGCCCUGUAAUACCGGGGGAGGGGGUGGCGCUCCUCCUUCGUUGUGCCAGCUCUGUGCUUUAUCUUUUGGGGCGGGGGGGGGCGGACCAGGGAAGACUCGUCAUUGAUACGUGUUCUUGGAAGAGCACGGGACAACUAAGUCUCAAGGUACUCUGCGCUUAGUACUUCCGGACGGUAGAACAGGAGGCUCGCAGUCUGAGUCUGUUUAGUUUUCUGUAAAAUGGAAGAGGUAACACCUGCUUUUGCCCCUCACUUUUUUUUUUUAAAGAUUUAUUUAUUUGAGAGAGCGAGAAUGAGAGAGAGAGAGAGAGUACAUGAGAAGGGGGAGGGUCAGAGGGAGAAGCAGGCUCCUCGCUGAGCAGGGAGCCCGAUGCGGGACUCGAUCCCGGGACUCCGGGAUCAUGACCUGAGCUGAAGGCAGUCGCUUAAUCAACUGAGCCACCCAGGCGCCCCUUGCCCCUCACUUUUAUGUAGAAGGAUCCUGUGCGGGAAAGAUGUAAAACAGAGUCUGCUGCUCUCUGUGUCAGGGGGUGUUACUCCUCGAGCUGGUGGAAGGCAGCACGUUUCCUACAAUUGGUCUCAAGCCUCAGAUGCCUGCCGCGUUGCCAUUCAGUUUAUUGCCUCCGCGAAGCAGAGUUUGUGGGGUGGGACUGUCCAUGGCAGGCUUUGGGAGAAAUGAUGGUUAUAUUUCGUAUUAAAUGGUAUCCUUGAGAAACUCAUAAAUUGUAAUCUCGUCCUAAUUGUGCUGGGCACGACUCCCACCACAAUACCUUGAAUCCCUGAAAACAUUUGCUUUCAAAGUCCCAAUCCACUUGGACAAUAAAAACAGUUACAUGUCUCUGCUCCAUGGAUGUUUUCUGCCAUUUCCAUCACUCCACUGGAUGGGUUAUUUCUAGGGAGAAUAACGAGGGUGAUACCCAGGCUUCAACACCAUUUGAUCUUUGAGGCUUUAUAGCAGGUAGGAGUUUGAAAUUUAAAAAAAAAAACCUCUGCCACACGAAGCUCCGAGUCAUGUGCUGAGCACAAAAACAAAUGACCAGUUUGAUUUCUAGGACAGCUCAGGCAGAAUUUGUACCACUAGGCUGUCAAGUUUUAAGUAUCUAAUUUUCUGAUGUAAAAGUUGCAGUAUGAUUAAACAAAACUGGGAGAAGUUCACAUUACAAGGUUCAAAAGCAGGAUUUACUAUAAUUACAAUUACAUAAAAUUAUAAAGAAAAAAGGAGAAGUACACCAAAAUACAGUGGUAGGAUUUAUGAGCUCCUUCCCCGCCCCCCCCCCCUUAAUACCCUUGGGUUAUUUCACAGUUCUGAGGGAAAAAAACAAACAAACCUUGUACAUGUCAUUUAAUUGCUAUGUUUUUUCUUUCCUUAGCUGUUUACAUGGCUUUCUUUCUGCCUCUGUCUAGUAGCGGAAAACUUUACUCUUUGUUGCGUAAAUGUAUAUGGCAGGGACAUUUGAGUGGCGCUUACUAUAUGCAGAGAUUAUGGGAGGAAGACUAUAUAAAGAGUCCAAAGUGUGUCAUAUAAAUUUAAAAGGAAAAAGAAGUUGUGUCCCCAAAUAGUCCAACUUAACUGUUAUCUGCGUGAUUAUCACUUCAUUGUAGACAAGUCGCUGACUUGUGUGUCUUCCAUAGUCAUCUGCCCACAUAGCCACCUGGAAUUAAUUGGUAUUCAGAUGGUGUAAUGGCGUGUCUUUUCUCAUAGUAGGUCACACCACUUCCUGUUGCUGAGCUGGGAGCUAUUGACUCACUUCCAAGUGCCUUGGAAAUAACUCCGGUGUUAAUAUAUACCUUGCUCCAAAGGUUGUUUAAACUUCUCUUCAGAAAGAGAAAAUCUUUUGUUGGAGUAUAUAAGUGGUAUUUGUUAUGUUCAAAAUGGGAACUAUUUUUCUCCUUUCAAAGAUGACACAGACAAGUCAUGUGAAGCCUAGUACAUUAAAACCCUUGGUAAAGGCCAAACCAGAAUAUUUUUAAGGUUUGCCCUUGAUCACGAUGUUCUUAGGACCCAGGUUCCUGAUAUUUUUAUCUAAAAUGGUUAAAAAGUUUUGCAGCGUUAAGAAAUUUCGUUUUUGGACCUUUAGUUGCAUUGUUCCUUUUUAAAAAGAAUUUGUUUUAUUUUAUGUUUUAAAGAUUUUAUUUGUGAGCGAGCGAGCAUGUGGGGGGGGGCACAGGGAGAGGGAGGGAGAAUCUCAAGCAGAGUCCCCACUGAAUGCAGAGCUCACGACCCUGAGAUCAUGACCUGAACUGAAACCAAGAGUCAGACGUUUAGUUCAACCCACUGCGCCACCUAGGUGCCCCAAUAAUUUAUUUUUAAGUACUCUCUACACCCAAGGUGGGACUCAAACUCACAACCUGGAGGUCCGAGAGUCAUGUGUUCCAGGGACAGAGCCAGCCAGGCACCCCUGUUGCAUUGUUCUAAUCCUGUUAGUGGUCCAUCUCUACGUCUCCCCCAGGAUUACAUAACCAUUGUCCUAACCACCUAAUUACGUAUCCAACCUGCUUGCUCUGUUAGCUGCAGAAUAUCCUGGCUGUCAGACCCUAGCACGGUGCUCCUGGCCAGUGAGUAGCCCUGGGGUGUGUGUCCCUCUGUCCCCUUCGGCUCCCACCCAUAGAAGGCUUGCCAAAUGUCAGUUGUUUGUUUCCAAAUCUGGUUAUUCCAGUUAGACUUAUUAUUGCAAUUACAGUUAAAUACUAUGUAAACCUUUGGACAAGUGUGGAAAGAGAGUUGGUUUCUUUUUCUUUUUUUUUUUUUUUGAGAGUUGGUUUCUAUGAAAACUUAAGUUGACUGUUUUGGGAACACUUGAUAAAAGUUGAAUUACCAAAAAAAAAAAAAAAAAAAAAACCAGGCCGUUAAAUUAGACGUGGGCCCCGCCAUUUAAAAAACUCGGGGUAAAUUUUAAGGAUUGCGUACAUGCAUUGUUUAGCAAGUGAUUCCCUUUUAAGAACCAAACUUCAUUUAUGCCCAACUUCCUUCCCAACAAACACACCAAAAAAAGCAUAGCGUGGAACACUGAAGAAUUCUUAACAAAUCUGUUACUAAAAGUACAUUUAGGUGUUUAAGUUAGAAUGUCAAAAUCUUUAUGGAUUUUAAGGUUUCCCGCCUGACAGACUUUAUAGGAGCUAACCAGCUUCUGGCCCCUAUCUCCUCUGAUUAGAACGCUUCCAUUGUAUUUAGCCCUAAUCCCCAGGUAUUAGAGCAGACUCCCCAUCUAGUUCAUGCCAGGUGCACAAGGUGACUUACAGUGGUCCUGCCGAGCUAACUUGAAUUACUUGUAGAAUUAAAAACACAGUUGUGUCAGUCACUGGAUGGCAGGGGACAGAAAGAUUUGUGAUUUUACACCUAAUUUAUAUGGAGUUCAGAAGCUUGUAUUUUGUAAUCCAGCAACCUUAAUUAUUGGGUCUCACUUAGAUACUGCUGACGGUUCGUUCCCUUUCAAAUCCUUAAACCUACCUGUUAAUGGAAAGGAGACCAAUUGAAUCUCAGUUUCUUAGUUUGAAUCAAUUUCUCUUUUGUUUCUUUCGAUCUCUAGGAGGUAACCUCUGAUACCUGCCUCCCCUUCCUGGCCCCCCCCAGGUCUCAGGUACUUCUCCAGCUGGCCUCCAGUCUCCCUUUUUCUGGUUCCUUUUGUGCCCCUAAAGCCUUUUCCCUGCCUGCCUCAUGAUCACAGGCUUCCUUCGUUCCAGGAGGUGGGAGCUCUGAUGACUUUGGUAUUGCUGUUAAUUUGUCUGCUUUUUUGUAGACCAUCUGAGUGAGGUUUUUCUUACCCUUUUAAUUUUCUUGGGACUUUGGUUAACACUAUACCUUCUGCCAGCCUCACGCCUUUUAUUUAUUUUAAAAAAUUUUUAAAAAGAAUUUAUUAGAACGCAGUGCCUGUAAGAGGGAGGGGGAGGGCAGAGGCAGAGGGAGAAGCAGGCUCCCCGCUGAACAGGGAGCCCACUGCGGGGCUCGAUCCCAGGACGCUGGGAUUGUGACCUGAGCCGAAGGCAGACACCCAGGUGCCCCAGCCUCACACUUUUUAAUAAGGGAGUUUUCAUUCAUUGCCGAUUCAGGAUACAGUCACUAAAAGCGGAGCUGAACCUUGUAGGAAGUGGCAGGGAGAGCUGGAUACCCCUUGGCUCCUGGUCAGGGAAACCUGCCUGCUUCUGGGACUUGCUGUUCCUGCCUCUGCUUGCACGUGGCUUGUGACUCUAGUUCUCUGAGGACGUCUGGGAUCAGAAAGGGUCUGUGUUGUAGGGACGUAGAUCCUGUCCCACCGGUGAGGGCUAGGUCCCACCCGAGCAAGCAGCUGGGACGACACAUCCUGGGCCUCUCGGGUGUGUGUCUGGGUUUCUUUCCACUUCCACACUGUUUUUGCAACAGAUUUUGCUCAUCUUGUGAGAACGCUGCCCAUCUCUCCUGGGGUUCUCUUUGAAGUUUGAAGAAAUGUGCCAGAAGAGCUUGGAUUGUAGAAAACCCCGUAGAUGGGCCACACAACACCCACUCCUCCUGAAAGCAUCCUGAAGAGAAGGCCCAGUCAGUUCGGAAAUCACCGCCCACAUUGGUUUCCAUAGUGCAUUCACACCAGAAAAAAAGAGGCUGUCGAGUCCAUUUUACAGAAGAGAAAACCAAGGCAGAGAGACACUGGCCAGAGAGUUAAAGGCUACAUAUCUUUUCCCCAGUUUUUCGUGGUCUUUAGAAGUAAGAUGAUCACUGUAGCCCCGAAAAGGGGGAGAAAAGGCCAUAACCGGGGCUCUGGGCAGGCUCCGGAGAGGUUUUUUUGCUUAAGAAGGUUGGGGAAGUUAAGGCAGUCUGUCAGCCUCCUGGACCAGAAGGAGUGUGUCCGUCUCAAGUGCAUGUUUGUGUUUGUUGUUUUUUUAAACACCAGUUGGUGGAGCUACCCCCUUAUCCCCAGCUGGCUGUCUCCUUGACUUCUCAUUGGAAAAAGAGCCGAGAUCCCAGGACCCCUUGGGACUGGCUGGUUUGUGCUCUGUGUUUUUGUAAGUGUCCCCCCCCACCCCCCUCGGUGGUACCUGAGGCCCUGCUGGGCGCAUUAGCUCUCCAGGCUUCCAAGGAAGGAGAACCUGCUUUCUCGUUGCAGGGGCUGUGACAGAUCGGCUGGAUAAUCUUUUUUUUUUGCUCUUGUAUUGUCGCCCCUGACUUUGCUGCUUAGGGGACUGUGGGGCGCUGGGGAAAUCAUUUGCCCUCAGUCCUCACCAGGGUCGGGGCCAUGCGGUAAAACAAAGGCUGCCCAGAUAUGUUAAUGAAGCAGCAUGAGUAAUGGGAACGUUAUACAUAAUUACUCACAUAGUCAUAGGAUGUAUGAGGAGGUUAGAAAGGGGAACCCUACUGGUUGAAGUUCUGGAGAGCUGUUUUUGAGGGCUGGUGCUGCUUGAGAGGCCUAAAUUGGAUUUUAAGUUCUAAUUUUGUAAGUCUGUCAAGCUCCACCACCCAUGAAGAGGAAGGCCAGUGUGCAUUGAAAUGUCAUCACCAGCAGUGUUUAGUUACCAGGAAUCCUAGAAGGUUAACAGAAUAGCCAGUUUUUGCCCCUUCAUCCUACCAAUGCAGCUCUUCCCUCAUACACCUGUUUUGUCCAGUAGAAGCAGGAGUUUUUUCCCAGCACUCUUAUUGGGGGGGGGCGGGCAGCGAGAGGGUUGUGUGUGUGGGUCUGUUUUCCAUCAGGAGACCCUCUGGUUUGCUGUGAAUGAGUGCUCCAGGAGAGUGUGGGAGACCUUUUGGUGCCCUGUUUUAUUGCUCUUUUUUAAAAAUCCGGGAGGUUCUUGCCCUAUUAUUUCCUAAGCACAAUUUUGGUUAGGGCUUGAUCUGCAACGGUUAUCUCUUGGUUCUCAUUUCUACCAGCUGUUAAAAUGUUUGGUGGCUCUGGGGGCCGAAACAGGUGCCAGGAGGAAAUGAGCAGCGAUUAGGACUUGAGCAUGUGUUUCUUGCAUUUAUUCCUUCCAUAGGUUUGCAGAAAGAGGGCUACUGAAUGGGUGCUCAUUCUGUGAGGCAGCCGUCAGGUAUAGACAUGAUUAAAACCUGGAGUGUUUUGUGCUUUGCGUAUGUGCCUUUCCGCUAGUACGUGGGCUUCAGUAACAUAUUCCCCAGAUUUCAUUCACAGGCUCGUCGUGAAUAUAUAGGGCACGUCUGUGGUAGUGGAUAGGAUCGGAAAUGAGAGCUGAGUUCAAGGUUGGGUCCUGCGUUACACGGGCCGCGUGACCCGUGGGCAGGCCACGGAACCUCGCGGAGCUGCUUCCUCAUCUGGAAAACUGGUUCCAUGCAUCUCCCGGGCUGGUUACUGGGAGAGCCAGUGAGAUUUUUGAUGUGAAAGCAUUUUGUAAAUUGCAUACGCCCGCACAAAUGGUCAGGGUAUCAUUACUCAGUUGGAAAUCACCAACCUGGAGACAUCGGGCCUGCCAGCAGCCUUCCUAGCUGACUCAGAAAUAAAUGAGUCAAAUGAGUUCUCUACUUUGCUUCUUAAACCAAAUGAGUAGCUUUAGAAGAAGUCCGUUUUGAUGUCCUCUCUUCCCAGCCCCACUCCCUCUGUUUGUUGAAGCUCUCUGUAUCAUCUGGCACUUGACUUCCAAGCCCGUCAGGGUGGUGAACCAGAGGCAGCUUUGACAGUUGAGAUGAGAGUGGCCCUGAAUCUCUGCACAAAGAUGUUCCGCCCAAGGUGUUUAAACCGGAUCUUGGAGCAAUAAUCCUUGAAAUUGAAAAUCCGAUCAUAAUCCUUCAUUGGCUCCCUGUGGCUUUCAGGAUAAAUCUAAACCAAGUGUGUCCUCAGCACAUCACGAGAAGCCCUUUUUGCUCUACCCUGGGCCUAUCCUGGCACCUGUUUCAGUUUAGCAGAGCUCACUCAGCCCCUUGGUCUUUGCACGUCCUGGUUCCUCGAGUGGGUUGCCCGAAGGAGCCCACCCGGCCCUUCUGAGGCCUUGCGGGACAGCCUGCCACCCCUGUCCUCUAGUCAGGCAGGGCUAAGCCCCUUCUUUCUGUCGCCCUGACUCCUUAAACCUACCUCUGGGCACUGGAAUCCGUGGUUGCCUGUCUCUGAUCCUAUUAACCUGCCCAGAGGAGGGGCUGAAUUUAACGUCAGUACGCAGCUGAGGAAAUAAUGGUUGAGGUGAAGCUUUUGGAGUAUGUCAGAUAGUGUCUAGUUGUGGGAGGGAAUUGGUAUGGCUCUAGGGGAGAAAGAUGAACGUAGCUAGCAGAAAUCUCUUAGCUGAGAAAACAGAGGUGUCUGGGGCCGUUGAGCGACUUGCCUGAGAUCGCACAUUUCGUCAGUGACACAGCAGGGGCAUGAAAUCCAGGCCCAGAUACAGCAGCAGGCUUUCUGUCGCUACUGUUCUUGAGACACGGUUUUCUGAAUCCUGCCUCCUUCCAGGGGGAUUCUCAGUUAUCCAUGGUAACUGCAGUCACUGAGUCGUUUCCAUGGGAAAACAAAAUCCACAGGUAAGCCCCAUACCUCCACUGCCGGUAGGACCAGUCCCGUUUUGAAGAUGACUUUUUUGCUUCAUAGGAAACCCUUCCGUUCGGAGGACUGCAAAUGAUACGAACCAUUGCAAUCGCAUACUGGGCAUUCCUGCACUUGUGGGGAGAUACAUAAAUACACACACACACACACAGUUUGACGUGUGUGGGUGCAUGCUCCUGGUUGAUGUUCUGUUACGUGCUUUUUGCAUUUAUAUCUUAUCUCGAUAAUCAGAAUACAACACUGCAGCGUUAUUUUUAAAUGGCUGCAGGGCACUUGGUUGAUCGCUACCGCAGUUUACUCUACCUGCCUGUUCUUGAUGGCCUUUUCAGUUUGGGGCCUGUUGUGCAAAAUGAUGUGCCCAGUAGGCCUUUAUCUGUAUCUUUUCACUUAACUCCCAGAUUCCUCAAAGUGGAAUUACUGGCUCAGAAGUGCCCAUGUUUUGGUUUUGGCUUUCUGUUUUUUGUUUUAGUAGGCUGCACGCCCAGCGUGGAGCCCAGUGCAGGGCUUGAACUCACGACUCAGAUCAAAACCUGAGCUGCCAUCAAGAGUCGGGCGCUGAACCCACUGAGCCACCAGGGCGCCCCAGAAGUGCCCGCUGUUUACAGUGAGAGCCCCGGUACCCCACUGUUUUCUCAGAGAUAGGCUGUACUCAUUGACAGUCCUAUGAGCAGUGCAUAAGAGGCCGGCAGGUUUGUUGGUUUGUUGGCUUUUAAAAACCAAUACAGGCCCUUGUAACGAGUAGUCAAGAUGUCCGUUGGGUUAUAUUUAAGUUUCUAUUUUCUUUCUUUUUUUUUUUUUUAAGAUUUUUAAAAUUUAUUUAUUUGAGACAGAGAGAAUGAGAGAGAGAGAGCACAUGAGAGGGGGGAGGGUCAGAGGCAGAAGCAGGCUCCCUGCCGAGCAGGGAGCCCGAUGCGGGACUCGAUCCCGGGACUCCAGGAUCAGGACCUGAGCCGAAGGCAGUCGCUUAACCAACUGAGCCACCCAGGCGCCUUAAGUUUCUAUUUUCUUUCCUUGUCCUCUCUCAGGGCUUUCCAACCGAACGAGAUAAGAUAGGUGAAAUCACUUUGUAAAGCAAAAUUGCUCUAAGAACACAUUGCGGUAUUAGAACGACUGUGGUCGUGAAGGGUGAACAGAGUAUGUGUACUGGUACAAUUACAUAUUUCCUGCUUAUGAAAUGCUUUCUUGUGAGGCUUGACAUGUGUUAAGAUGACCUGGAAUCUUAAUUGUUUUCACGUGUAAUUUCAGCCUUGUUUGUGAGGUGGGCUUUGCAUGGUUACAAAGGCCCCAUUGGGCCCUGGCUUGGCAGACCAUUCAGUUACAUACAGCUGAUAUAUUCUGGUUGCUUGCCAUGCUCUGGCACCAGGUUAGGUGUUAAGAAAAAGGUUAUCGUCCUUGUUCUCAGAAAAUUUAUAGUUUAGUUGACCGCAGGGCUGCAGAAUACUGGGAAAAGAGCAGGUAGCCUUGGAUAGGUGAUUUGACCUGAGUCUCUGUUUCUUCAUCUAUAAAAUGGGGAGAAUUACACCUUUAAUCUCAAGGACAUUUUGGAGGAGGCAGUGGGAAGCACCAUGGGAAGUGCUUUAUAAACUGGUAUCUAGAUUGUAUUAUUCUUCUAACCCCACAGGUCUUCUUGGCUGACAUUCUUUGGCCCCAAGGUUGAAGAGGGAACAUAGUGUUUCUGGGUUAUCUUCUUUGCUGAUUAUAGCAUGUUCUGUCGUCUGAAGAAAAAGAGGGUAGAAAUGAAAAUAAAGGGCGCCUGGGUGGCUCAGUCCGUUAAGUGUUUGACGCUUGGUUUUGGCUCAGGUCGUGAUCUCAGGGUCCUGGGAUCCAGCCCCGUGUGGGGCUCUGCACUGAGCAGGGAGUCUGCUUUGGAUUCUCUCUCUCUCCCUCUGCCCCCCCUCCCCCCAGUGUGUGCUCUCUUUCUCUCUCUCAAGUAAAUUAAAAAAAAAAAAUGAAAAUCGUGCAGGUGCUCAGCACUUUCCUUCUCGCCAAGACUUGCUUUUUCUUCCUAACUUAAGGGGAAAAAUGCAGCCUGCUCUCUACACUGGACACGCUUUGUUCAGAUGCUGGAUUCCCCACCCCUCCACCCUGGCAUAUGAGGUCGAGGUGGUAUCACAGUGCUGCUAAGAAAGAAGCAUUACUUUUUGGUGUUUUAAAAGAGUAGUUUUGGAUAAACCCCUUUUCCUUCCUUUUUAAUUCUGUAGUCAAGAUGUCCCUUUAGAGAUGUGGUAGAACUUGAACGUUUAUUGGUUUUACCCAAAUUGCCCCCUUUUCCAUUCUCGGGCCGCCCAGAGCAUGAAAGCUCCGUGUGUUCUAUUUUCAGCUUGUAAUAAUGUCUUGAUGUUGGAGGAUGAAAGAGCCAACAGGAAUGGAAGGCAUUGCAUAAGGAGCCAUGGCCUGGAGUCCCAGUUAAAUUGGUAGCACAUGGUUUUCACAUGCCUCGAAGGGCUUUGGUCGCGUUGCCUUGCUGGAGCUGUGUCGGCCACCACACCACAAAACUUGGUCCCUGACACUUGCCACGUGACUCCUUUUCAUAUGGACGAUUCUGAGUGGCAAAGGCCAGCUGUCUUUGAAGCCAAAUGAACAGUGGACUUGGUUUCUUUCUUUUUUUUUUUUUUUAAAGAUUUUAUUUAUUUAUUUGACAGAGAGAGGGACAGCGAGAGAGGGAACACAAGCGGGGAGUGGGAGAGGGAGAAGCAGGCUUCCCGCUGAGUAGGGAGCCCGAUACGGGGCUCGAUCCCAGGAUCCCGGGACCAUGACCUGAGCCGAAGGCAGACCCUUAACGACUGAGCCACUCAGGAGCCCCUGGACUUGGUUUCUUAACAGUGUGGAAAACCUGAAAUGUUGGGUGGGGCCCUCUAUAGAGCCAUUCCUGUGCGUUUAUUUAGGAACGGGGUUGGAGGGGCUUGGUGUGGGGGCCAAGGAAACCGUCUUCUUGAGCCUGAUGAGUUUAGCCUGGUUUUGACAUUCAGUUCUACCAGCCCUGUAGCCUUUUUACUUGGACUCCUCGUUGGUUGCUCUUUUUUGAGGCAUGUUUAUUUUAUGUAUUGACUUAUAGAUACCGCACCCUCAUUCCAAAAAGGAUUUAAGGCCACAAUGAGCAGUCCUCCUGGGAGCAAGUAAUUUUUGCUUUGAUCUGACAAAAGUUGACUUUCUGACUGGGAAAAGUGACAGCCACAUGAAAACACCGGCAGCGGGUCCUUGUCCUUCUCCACCCAGCGGUGUUAGGGCCGAGUAGCUUUUUGCUUUAGCUUUGGAAACUGGAGCUAAAACUUUUAAUUAAAGGCGAGUUUUGUUAAGUAAUAUUGGUAUUGACACCCUAACAGAACUCUUAAUCUGCAAGAAUUUUAAAGAUGCAUGAAAGUAAUCCCCAGCACUGGUAACAUCCUUGAGUGGCAGAGAUCAGGUUUCUGUUUGAAUGCCAGGAUGGUUUAUCACUUUUUUCCACAGUGCAGGGGGCCACGGAGGGUUCUGGAUUUAAUAAUAAACUUCUUUGGGGGGGGAGUAGCGAUUGGGAUAUGUUCGUGCAUGAUUCAGCAUCCUGUGUCUUUAAAAAUGUUUUCAAAUACCCAUUCUGUAUCGUGAUCAUCAAAACUACUGCUAGGAUUCCAAACCAUUGUGGUUUAAACUUAGCUGGAAUCUGAAAGGUGGCUGACAGAGUGAAAGGAAACCUCCUUUAAAUAAGGAACACAUUUGGCCUGCCUGAUUGUUCCAGAGUCUGAGCUCUGGGCAUAUCUGAGCCACGGGCCAAGUCUCCUGGUUGAAGAGGUUGGGGAAUACUUGUUUCAAUUCACUGGCCCGUUCCCUCCGCCCCCCCCCCCCCCCCCAGCUCCGUCUAAACACCAUCAAUUAGUCCUGCAGAAACUCUUGCUGCAGAUACGGACUUGCAAAGCUUCAUGUUACAACCACGUUCUUGUCUAGAUGAGAAACAUACUCUUUUGUUUUUGUCCUUGUGAUAAAUCAGAACUCUAAUGAUGCUAUUAAAACGGGUUCUCUUCUGGCCCUGGUAAGCUAGAAAGCCCUGGGAGGCAGGGAGUGCAGAUCUGACUUUGGGGCAUAUCUGAAGCUCAGAAGCGGUCUUCUUUUCUCCGAAUUCUGCUCCGUGCUCGCAUUCAGUGAUGUGAUCCCUGCCUCAGCGCUGACCUGGCCAAAUGUGAGCACGUAUUUCUCCCCAACCCGCUUUUUCUCGCUUUCCUUCUUCCACGAGACUUGCUGAAGUUGUCAUGUUACUUCUUUCCAGAAUUUAUUGGAGCGGUAGGCAAAGCCUCUUGGGAGUAUAAAUAAUGAUGAUUAUAAAGCACAGUCAGUUUACCAAGGAAGGCCAUUAUCUUUGACUUGCAAAAGCUGGCCCAACAUUACUUGCUUACAGUUGUUUAAUACAAAUGAAGACCUCAGUCGUACCUGUUGUCAGAGGAGUCCUUUUACUCUCAUUGUACACUGCCGUCAUCUCGGUAAAGAACAGAACCACCUUGCCCCCAGGUAUGAGUGCUUGUUCCUUGGGACAGACAUGAUAUACGAGCCAGGGAAAGCCUUGGAUGGUGGUUCAUGGUUGCUUUUUCCCCCUCCCAUCAACAGCAGAUAAUCCUCCCUUGCCGGUGUGGAAAGAUUGCUAAAGCUGAUAAGUAAUAUCUAAUUUACUUCUGGACUCCCCUCCUCUCUGCUUCCUAUCCAACUUACAAAUCCAAAGAUGGCUUUAAAAGUCAUUGAAAGGGUUUGUCUGAAUAGGCCCUGGCAUUGAGUAAAUGCAUUUAAAUGGUAGACUCCCAUGCUCUUAAUUAAAGUCCACAGCAUAGCUCCGGGGGUGGGGGGCGUGGGGGCGGGGAAUAGGAAGCCUAAAGUUGCAGGUUUUAUUUUUUGGGGAGAUGGAAGUUCCCCCUCGUUGCACUUUGAAGUUUAACUACGGUGUUUUAUAGAUACAUAUUCUUGGCACACAUUGUUGUCCUUUGCUGCUGUAUCUUUCGCAAAAGUGCCAGCCCAUUUUAGCCUUUCUUUUUUUAAAACUCUCCUACAUCUCCAACUUAUUCCAGUUCGUUUGGCAGUUCAACUAUUUUUCUUUCUUUUUUUUUUUUUUAAAGAUUUUAUUUAUUUAUUUGAGACAGAAUGAGAGACAGAGAGCAUGAGGGGGGGAGGGUCAGAGGGAGAAGCAGACUCCCUGCUGAGCAGGGAGCCUGAUGCGGGACUCUAUCCAGGGACUCCAGGAUCAUGACCUGAGCCGAAGGCAGUCGCUUAACCAACUGAGCCACCCAGGCGCCCUCAACUAUUUUUCUUUUGGCGUUUCAGUGGUAGUUCAAGACGGAAGGCAUUUUAAGCAUCUCAGCCUUUUCCCUGAGUGAUUUUGGAUGUGAAUGUGAUUUCCCCCCCCUUAACAAUUCAGUGGUUUUUUUAGUAUGUUCAGAGUUGUGCAAGCAUCACCAUGAUCAGUUUUAGAACGUUUUUGUCACCCCCCCAAAGGAAACUCCAUACCCUUUGACAGUCACCCCACAUUUCAUCCCAAUGUCUGUGGUUUCUGGCAGCCACGAAUCCACUUUCUGUCUCUCUGGACAUUUUGUAUAUACAUGGAAUCCUACACUAUGUGGCUUUUUGUGACUGGUUUCUUUCACUUAGCAUAACAUUUUCAAGGUUCACGCAUGUUGUUAGCAUGGACCAGUACACAGCUCCUUUUUAUGACCAGAUAGUAUUUCAUCUUAUGGGCAUACCGCAUUUUGUUCAUCCAUCCAUCAGCUGAUGGACAUUCAGGUUGUUUUCCUCCUUUUGGCUCUUGUGAAUAAUGCUGCUAUGCACAUUUGUGUACAGGUGUUUGUGUGUGUGUGUGGGGGGGGGGUGAUAUUUGCAUUUCUCUUGGAGUAUCUCCAGUUAGGAAACCUGGCACAUCAAACCCACUCAUGACUAGAUUUAUUUACUCCUCUUGAGUUAACCUGCUAAGCGAUUUCUCUCAGCUUGUGUCCCUGAGCCACUGUUUGUUCUGUUCAGCUGAGUGCUAUGCUGGGUUCUCCCCCUCUGGGGCUCUGGCCUUGCCUUUGGGGACUGGGGGUUCUCCUUUUCCUCUCCGCCUGCCUGCCACGCCUCCCUGUGUUUGUAGGGGGGCCAAGAGUGGCCCUACUUCUCUGCCCUUUUGCAAACUGAACAGUGUUCACAGAAGUUUAAGCUAGAACCAUGUGUAUGCUCCAUUUAGGCGUGAAAAAAAAUGGUGGGACUUUGAAUUUUGCUUUUUGUGGGUGCUCCGGUGUUUUUGGCUGUAGUGGUGGGUCUUUCAGAUCCACAUAGAGUUUUGGGAGGGGUAGAAUAAAGACCCUGGCUCCUCUCUGGGGGCAUGAAGAAGGACUAGAAGAACUGUUGCCCUGCCUUACCUUCAGUUUUGACUUUCUCGUGGUUACGUUAA